GAUUACAAAAUACCAAUCGCAAAAAAAAAUCGGUUCGUCUGAUUCUUGGAGAGUAUCUAGAGAGAAAAGUGACCUGUUUCUUGGAAUAUUGAGUUAGCAAAGUUGAAACUUGUGGGUUUUGGAAUAGUAUGGCUUUCUUUCUUACACUGUUGAAUGCUUUUUGAGUGAACAUUUUCCCCGUAAUGGUUUAAAUAUCUUGACCAUACAUUUAAUCUCCGCCUCAUCCAAAAACGUAUUCCUUGCAAAUCUUUCUGCUGCUGAAAAAUAGUUUUCGGACGGUCAAAAAGAGGUCAGAACCCAAACCAUGUCAAAACCAAGGUGAGUUUGUGUUUUGCUUUGCUGAACGCGAUGUGUUACUCUGGUGCAUAUAUACAUACUUACGUUGACAGGUUUAUAUAUGAAUAACAUGAUUAAAGGAAGAUGAAUUAAAGCAAGUAAUAAUGACAACUUGUAACUAUGCAAGAUUUUGGAGUGUGCAUUCAAGAUUUGAGACUUAUGUUUUGCAGGUAUCUCAAAUAUAGAAUUAAAAAGACGAGUGAGUAAAAUCUCUCUAAGAUUUUGUCUUGUGUAUAUUAUUAUUUUUAAAGCACGGAUAUUAGAGGUUGGCAACGAAAUGAAAGAUUAGGGGUGUUUAUCUGUUCGGUUUGAAAGUUAAAGGAAUAUUGGAUUUUAAUAAUAGCUAUUCGCCGUGGCUGCCAACAGUCCCAACUUCAAAAAUAACCACUGACAGUCCCAGCUAUUAACAUGUUGGCCUCCAAUGGACACUGACUAACAGAACUCUAACGCCGUUAGUCUUUGGUCGUCGGAAAAACGUUUUUGGCCGGAAAACUAAAUUUUUUUUGUCCCAAAACUCUUUGUAAUCCUCUUACGGACUUUUAAGAACUUUUUUCUAGUAAAAGCUCCAAUUAUUGAAGUCGCCGGAAAACUUCUUUUGGCCGGAAAACUCAACGUUUUUUAAUUUUUAAAUUUUGGCAUGAUGUUUCUUUCAUGAUGACAUGGUUUGUACAUUAAUAUUAAGAAAGA
This 1023-nucleotide long non-coding RNA is filed under the name Helianthus annuus (common sunflower). RNAcentral describes it as "hypothetical non coding rna". The record is from RNAcentral. Lineage: Eukaryota; Viridiplantae; Streptophyta; Magnoliopsida; Asterales; Asteraceae.